This 226-nucleotide long non-coding RNA is filed under the name Nicotiana benthamiana. RNAcentral's name for it is "long non-coding RNA (NBEN_LNC011447)". Lineage: Eukaryota; Viridiplantae; Streptophyta; Magnoliopsida; Solanales; Solanaceae. The record is from RNAcentral.
UUAGAGGCAAUAUGCUGAGAAAAGCUGUGACGAUACUCUCAUCUCCAUCUCCCAUAUAAUGUACGGUCUCCGACUUCCGUCCAACCUCUUCCCUUAAACGGCUGUUUCUCUCUCUCUCUCCAUCUUGUUCUUUUCUUUGCCCCCACAUUUACAGAAACCUUUUGUACACUCAUCCCUCUAUUCCUUCCUCAUCCCCAGAUUCCUCCCCACCCCCUCCCCCCCUCCC